UACAGAGGGGGCAAGCGUUAUCCGGAUUUACUGGGCGUAAAGGGUGUGUAGGCGGUCGGGCAGGUGGGGUAUUCCAGCGUGCGGCUUAACUGCACGAGUGCGCUCCAAACCGCUUGACUCGAGGGGUGCAGAGGUUGGUGGAAUUGCCAGUGUAGCAGUGAAAUGCGUAGAGAUUGGCAGGAACACCAAGGGCGAAAGCAGCCAACCAGGCACCACCUGACGCUGAGGCACGAGAGCGUGGGGAGCAAACAGG
This 253-nucleotide ribosomal RNA is filed under the name uncultured bacterium. Its description in RNAcentral is "partial 16S ribosomal RNA". It matches the Rfam family "Bacterial small subunit ribosomal RNA", at positions 524 to 776 of the family's 1533-position model. The record is from RNAcentral.